Non-coding RNA from Aegilops tauschii subsp. strangulata, 3237 nucleotides. The record is from RefSeq and is a predicted model, not a curated record. NCBI's taxonomy places the organism in Eukaryota, Viridiplantae, Streptophyta, Magnoliopsida, Poales, Poaceae.
AGGUGGUCGCAGGUUCGGGCGCCAUCUCCUUCCUUCCCGUACACUGGGAUCAAACAGCCCGCGGCCUGGCGGUGCCGGCCUGGAUCUGGAGGCAGAUGGACCAGAUCCUGGAGCUGGGCACGAAGGAGCUCGAGGUCGACGACUCCGGCUUCGUCCUCCUCCUCUGACGUCGCCACCUUGCUCAGGUCCAACACGCCUAUCCAUCGCCCCAGUUUUUAUCAUUUCAUCGUGAUUACCAUCCCACGCCAUCCAUAGGGUGUGCCUUCUGCCCUUCUCACCACUCUGAACUCUGAGGAAGUGGAAAUUGGGUUGGGGAAGUUUUUUGAGCUCGAAAUUAAACCCAGUUCUAGAAUAGUAGAAGCUGGUGCUGAGAUGGUCGGUAGGCAGUGGCACUCAUAGGUUUCCAUUGCUUCAAAUCUAUUUGGUUUUAGGUGAUUGGGCACCCAAAACUCACAACACUGUUGCUACACAUUAGUUCAGGAAUCAAGGCAAAUAGCGGUAUUUCCCUUUGGGGUGAAUGGACGAACUGAUUAUGGGAAGACCAACCAAGUAGUUUAUACAGUACUCACACAAUUUCUCACACUUCCAGCGAAUUAAACUGAUGAUUAGAUGUGCCUUCUCUCCUUCGUACAUUGUUUGGGGGUUUGGUUUGAGAAGUGGGUUGCAGCACUCAUGAUUUUGCUUGUUUCGGGGAUGGAAUGAAUUGGGCAUCAACAUCUAACACACACACACACACACACACACACACACAGAGAGAGAGAGAGAGAGAGAGAGAGAGAGAGGAGAGAGGAGAGAGGAGAGAGAGAGAGAGGAUGAUUCUCUUUAUUACGUCAACCAUGUAGUAGAAACAAGAUAGAACUAAACAGCUAGGGUUUUGAAGUUGACUCGGUAGCUGAAUCAUGGUCCAUGAAUUUGUGUAAAACGACAAGUGCGCUGCUGAAUUAAAAUUCUACCUGUUCAUUCCACUGCCCAGUUACCAUCUGAAAGGUUCUAUUUUGCCACCGCAACUCUAAUUAGAUUGUUAUAGUUCAGACUAAGGGGAUCAAGAUUGGUCAUCUGUUAGCUAUGUACUGUGGACCUCAACACUAGCUGAGUACCUAUGCAGCUAAUCAUUGAUCUUGUCUUGGGUGAAAGGCUGGCGUUUGUUAAUUCAGAUACUGAAAGGUAACCCACACUGACUUUAUUUGUUUACUUUCCUUCUGAACUCUUAUUUGCUUAGCUUCUAUUGAUGAUAUUUCUAAUCUUUUAUCUUCGUCGGUAAACUCAACUGCAUCUCAGUUUUCUGUUCCCAUUUCCUGGAUUGCGGGUCCUGAUGCGCAAGAUUCUUCUGUUUGCUACGGCACACGCAGGCCUGGACGAUGGCAAGCAUUGGCGUGCGCACGUCGUUGCAACAGACACACCUCAACCCUCCCGACGCACGCAAUAAUCAGCGGUGCCAAAAUGAUUUGGUGUUUGCAAGGGUCGCUUUUGUUGCAUUUUCUACGUGAGAAACCAUCUCAGGCUAUUUGGAUGCACCUGCACAGUACUGAUAGUACAUGAAAUUCAUCAACCUGCUGUUGCCGCAACCAACCAAAAUUUGCUCUAGCAGAGUGAUGAAUACAAUAUUCAUGCUAAGCUUUCUUCAAAUUAUGCUAAUUGAUCUUAAAAAGCUGGCUACUGGUGUUAUUUGCUGCAAUUUAUUUCUGACAGCCAGGUAGUCUUGGAAUGCUUUCGUGAUGCAAUUUAUUUCUGACAGACAAGCUAUGCUAAUUGAUCUUGAAAAGCUGGCUACUGGUGUUAUCUGCUUUGUGGAAGGCUGUUAGCAUUAAACUUUAGUGCUCGGCUGUUCAUCAUAGUCUCAUUCCCUAGAUGAUUAAUGAGGCAUGAAAAAUAGGUGAAAUUGCAGGAAAAUUGAAGAUGGGAACACGAUUCAUUUUGUCAAUGGGAACAUCUACUGUUACAGAUACACUUUCUGUAUUCUACCUAUCGAUGGCGUAAUGUUUGAAUAUUAAGUCAUUUCUUUUUGUCAUUAGCAGGUGCUUUUAUUUAUGUUCAUAUUCCACGUAUGCAUGUGCUGCUCCGGUGGUGUUUUAUUAGUUGAUUGGCAUAUAUGGAUCUCUCCAUGUUUAUUAGUUGAUCUCCAACCCCUACUCUGCUGUGGUGUUGUGGGAGCAAGAAGAGCAUGCAUGCUUUCUCUCUACAUCUAGGGUCCAUACGGCCAGAUUGACGGGCCUAAACUCUGGGUUUCUUUCAAGAAUCAUGAGAGAACAUUCAAGGAGUGGCUUAUUUGGAAAUUAGAACCUUCAGAUUUCUUAGAAGUGAGGUUACUUUCCAACUAGAAUUAUAGGCAAGCAUUGGUCUUUAAUUUGGAAGUGAUUGUCAUGUCUAAGAAGGGAGAUCAACCCGGUUUGGUGUACAUGAUCUUCACUCGGAUUUAUGUGAAUAUAAGCGUAAGAGGUCUAGUGGCAAUGCUACAAAAUCAUUGCAGGCGUGAGUAUCCGGAUUGCACUACUGCUGGCCGUUUCUUGCGAUUGCGUACAACAGGCUUCUGACAAAGCCAAGUCAUGGCCUCAUUAGGCCCCUUUUUUCAGCCAAACUGAAAGCACUUCAUGUUAGCUUGUAUUCGCUUUUGGAUUAACUACAAUGCAUUGUACCCAUCCAUGCUCCAGGGAUAUAAUAACGUUGUAGAUAGACGGAGACUGAAUCAGUUCACACUACUUUGAUGUCUAUCGAGCCAAUGGGACAACAAAGUCCUUGCAGAAAAGAAGAACUGGAAGCAGGUUAUCUAUCUUCACGAGCAAGUCGGCAUCUGUAAACCUUCACCGGAGCCAUUCCAGCUCUUUCAGAGCCACAAGGCAAGGAAGUUGAGGAACCAAGACCCCAACGGUGCGGAGCAGUUUGCCAUCGAGAGGACUAGGGCUGCCAUCAGGGACCUCUAAACCAAGCUCAACAUCCCAAUUUGACUACCUCUACGGGAUAGACCUCAACAGAAAACUGUUGAGUGCCUCCAUCAACACCGUGUCCUGGAGGGUCGUCGCCGUCCGCGACGACGAGCUACUGCCGCAGCUUUGUCAGCCGCAUGGUUAGAGGGAGGCAUCAAGGGCCUGCCACCGCUGCCGGGGCCGACGUGCGUGUAAUUUCUAUUAAUGUAUCUUAUGUUGCCAAACAACAACAUGCUCCUGUCAAUGCUAUAUCGUUGUGGGCGUGGCAUUUCAGUUUCUUCCUCAGGUGAUAUUCCAAUAUAAUAAGUUCCAUCAA